This 102-nucleotide ribosomal RNA is filed under the name uncultured bacterium. RNAcentral describes it as "partial 16S ribosomal RNA". It matches the Rfam family "Bacterial small subunit ribosomal RNA", at positions 1379 to 1482 of the family's 1533-position model. The record is from RNAcentral.
CCUUGUACACACCGCCCGUCACGCCAUGGAAGCUGGAGGGACCCAAAGCCGGUGGCUAACCGCAAGGGGCAGCCGUCUAAGGUCAAUUCAGUGACUGGGGCG